GUCGGCGUGCUUAACACAUGCAAGUCGAACGGAAAGGCCCUGCUUUUGUGGGGUGCUCGAGUGGCGAACGGGUGAGUAACACGUGAGUAACCUGCCCUUGACUUUGGGAUAACUUCAGGAAACUGGGGCUAAUACCGGAUAGGAGCUCCUGCUGCAUGGUGGGGGUUGGAAAGUUUCGGCGGUUGGGGAUGGACUCGCGGCUUAUCAGCUUGUUGGUGGGGUAGUGGCUUACCAAGGCUUUGACGGGUAGCCGGCCUGAGAGGGUGACCGGCCACAUUGGGACUGAGAUACGGCCCAGACUCCUACGGGAGGCAGCAGUGGGGAAUAUUGCACAAUGGGCGGAAGCCUGAUGCAGCAACGCCGCGUGCGGGAUGACGGCCUUCGGGUUGUAAACCGCUUUCGCCUGUGACGAAGCGUGAGUGACGGUAAUGGGUAAAGAAGCACCGGCUAACUACGUGCCAGCAGCCGCGGUGAUACGUAGGGUGCGAGCGUUGUCCGGAUUUAUUGGGCGUAAAGGGCUCGUAGGUGGUUGAUCGCGUCGGAAGUGUAAUCUUGGGGCUCAACCCUGAGCGUGCUUUCGAUACGGGUUGACUUGAGGAAGGUAGGGGAGAAUGGAAUUCCUGGUGGAGCGGUGGAAUGCGCAGAUAUCAGGAGGAACACCAGUGGCGAAGGCGGUUCUCUGGGCCUUUCCUGACGCUGAGGAGCGAAAGCGUGGGGAGCGAACAGGCUUAGAUACCCUGGUAGUCCACGCUGUAAACGGUGGGUACUAGGUGUGGGGUCCAUUCCACGGGUUCCGUGCCGUAGCUAACGCUUUAAGUACCCCGCCUGGGGAGUACGGCCGCAAGGCUAAAACUCAAAGGAAUUGACGGGGCCCCGCACAAGCGGCGGAGCAUGCGGAUUAAUUCGAUGCAACGCGUAGAACCUUACCUGGGUUUGACAUGGAUCGGGAGUGCUCAGAGAUGGGUGUGCCUCUUUUGGGGUCGGUUCACAGGUGGUGCAUGGCUGUCGUCAGCUCGUGUCGUGAGAUGUUGGGUUAAGUCCCGCAACGAGCGCAACCCUUGUUCACUGUUGCCAGCACGUUAUGGUGGGGACUCAGUGGAGACCGCCGGGGUCAACUCGGAGGAAGGUGGGGAUGACGUCAAGUCAUCAUGCCCCUUAUGUCCAGGGCUUCACGCAUGCUACAAUGGCUGGUACAGAGAGUGGCGAGCCUGUGAGGGUGAGCGAAUCUCGGAAAGCCGGUCUCAGUUCGGAUUGGGGUCUGCAACUCGACCUCAUGAAGUCGGAGUCGCUAGUAAUCGCAGAUCAGCAACGCUGCGGUGAAUACGUUCCCGGGGCUUGUACACACCGCCCGUCAAGUCAUGAAAGUUGGUAACACCCGAAGCCGGUGGCCUAACCGUUGUGGGGGAGCCGUCGAAGGUGGGACUGGUGAUUAGGACUAAGU
Molecule: ribosomal RNA, 1441 nt
Filed under: uncultured organism
Description: partial small subunit ribosomal RNA
Rfam family: Bacterial small subunit ribosomal RNA
Source: RNAcentral